Molecule: ribosomal RNA, 746 nt
Filed under: uncultured Kingella sp.
Lineage: Bacteria; Pseudomonadati; Pseudomonadota; Betaproteobacteria; Neisseriales; Neisseriaceae
Description: bacterial SSU rRNA
Rfam family: Bacterial small subunit ribosomal RNA
Source: RNAcentral
GAUGAACGCUGACAGAAUGCUUAACACAUGCAAGUCUUUGGCGAAGCUGUGCUUGCACAGCCUAGCCAAGGCGGACGGGUGAGUAACGCGUAAGGGACUUGCCCUGCAGUCAGGGAUAACAGACGGAAACGACUGCUAAUACCGAAUAAGUUCCAAGAGCCGCACGGCCCAUGGAAGAAAAGGUGGCCUCUACCUGUAAGCUAUCGCCUGAAGAGGGGUUUGCGUCUGAUUAGCUGGUUGGAGGGGUAACGGCCCACCAAGGCGACGAUCAGUAGCCGGUCUGAGAGGAUGAACGGCCACACUGGAACUGAGACACGGUCCAAACUCCUACGGGAGGCAGCAGUGGGGAAUAUUGCACAAUGGGCGAAAGCCUGAUGCAGCAACGCCGCGUGAACGAUGAAGGUCUUCGGAUCGUAAAGUUCUGUUGCAGGGGAAGAUAAUGACGGUACCCUGUGAGGAAGCCCCGGCUAACUACGUGCCAGCAGCCGCGGUAAUACGUAGGGGGCUAGCGUUAUCCGGAUUUACUGGGCGUAAAGGGUGCGUAGGUGGUCCUUCAAGUCGGUGGUUAAAGGCUACGGCUCAACCGUAGUAAGCCGCCGAAACUGGAGGACUUGAGUGCAGGAGAGGAAAGUGGAAUUCCCAGUGUAGCGGUGAAAUGCGUAGAUAUUGGGAGGAACACCAGUAGCGAAGGCGGCUUUCUGGACUGCAACUGACACUGAGGCACGAAAGCGUGGGGAGCAAACAGG